Molecule: ribosomal RNA, 482 nt
Filed under: uncultured bacterium
Lineage: Bacteria
Description: partial 16S ribosomal RNA
Rfam family: Bacterial small subunit ribosomal RNA
Source: RNAcentral
AUUGAACGCUGGCGGCAUGCCUUACACAUGCAAGUCGAACGGUAACGGGCCUUCGGGUGCCGACGAGUGGCGAACGGGUGAGUAAUACAUCGGAACGUGCCCGAUCGUGGGGGAUAACGAGGCGAAAGCUUUGCUAAUACCGCAUACGAUCUACGGAUGAAAGCAGGGGACCGCAAGGCCUUGCGCGGACGGAGCGGCCGAUGGCAGAUUAGGUAGUUGGUGGGAUAAAAGCUUACCAAGCCGACGAUCUGUAGCUGGUCUGAGAGGAUGAUCAGCCACACUGGGACUGAGACACGGCCCAGACUCCUACGGGAGGCAGCAGUGGGGAAUUUUGGACAAUGGGCGCAAGCCUGAUCCAACCAUGCCGCGUGCAGGAUGAAGGCCUUCGGGUUGUAAACUGCUUUUGUACGGAACGAAAAGCCUUCUUUUAAUACAGGAGGGUCAUGACGGUACCGUAAGAAUAAGCACCGGCUAACUACGUG